ACGUGUGGCACAAACAUAAUUGGUCAGUGAUAUCAAUAUAAGACAGACCUGAGAUAGACAAAGAGUCAUAACAGGAACAAUGAAGACUUUGUGUGUUGCCGUUGUUGUGCUGAGUCUCAUUUCAGUGUGUCAGCCGCACCGCUGACCUGUGAAAAGCUGCUGAAGCCAGUGGACAAAGAGCUAGAAGUGACUGGGACUUGGUACAUGAUAGCUGUUGCGACGGAAAGCUGUUUGGCUACAACAAUCAUGAAUGCUCUUUUUGAGCUAAGUGGCAAAAUUCACAUUAACGCAACUGAUGCACCAAAAGUCUACAGUUUAGAAUAUAAUAUUAAAUUAUAUCAAUAUGCAAAACUGACACAGGCAAUUUUUUCUACGAGAAAAGCGCCAUGUUUGGUGUCGACGUUAAUAAUGCCCAUAUGGUGACGCAGAUCUAGUGCUGCAAAGUGGGUGUCCAGACUGUAUGGUUCUACUGGGAGAUUCCGUCUUAAACACACAAUACUCUUUAGUAAGG
Long non-coding RNA from Larimichthys crocea (large yellow croaker), 511 nucleotides. RefSeq lists it as uncharacterized. The record is from RefSeq and is a predicted model, not a curated record. The transcript has 4 exons. NCBI's taxonomy places the organism in Eukaryota, Metazoa, Chordata, Actinopteri, Sciaenidae.